Esox lucius (northern pike) is the source of this 145-nucleotide long non-coding RNA. RefSeq lists it as uncharacterized. Lineage: Eukaryota; Metazoa; Chordata; Actinopteri; Esociformes; Esocidae. The record is from RefSeq and is a predicted model, not a curated record. The transcript is spliced from 3 exons.
UGCAAAUACAUUUCAGCCAACAACACAAUUGACCCCAGCAACUAAUGCAACAACACCAUUUGAGCCAACAACACAAUUGACCCCAGCAACUAAUGCAACAACACCAUUUGAGCCAACAACACAAUUGACCCCAGCAACUAGUAAG